This 492-nucleotide ribosomal RNA is filed under the name uncultured bacterium. Its description in RNAcentral is "partial 16S ribosomal RNA". It matches the Rfam family "Bacterial small subunit ribosomal RNA", at positions 29 to 507 of the family's 1533-position model. The record is from RNAcentral.
AGUGAACGCUGGCGGUAGGCCUAACACAUGCAAGUCGAACGGCAGCACAGUAAGAGCUUGCUCUUACGGGUGGCGAGUGGCGGACGGGUGAGGAAUACAUCGGAAUCUACUUUUUCGUGGGGGAUAACGUAGGGAAACUUACGCUAAUACCGCAUACGACCUACGGGUGAAAGCAGGGGAUCUUCGGACCUUGCGCGAUUGAAUGAGCCGAUGUCGGAUUAGCUAGUUGGCGGGGUAAAGGCCCACCAAGGCGACGAUCCGUAGCUGGUCUGAGAGGAUGAUCAACCACACUGGAACUGAGACACGGUCCAGACUCCUACGGGAGGCAGAAGUGGGGAAUAUUGGACAAUGGGCGCAAGCCUGAUCCAGCCAUACCGCGUGGGUGAAGAAGGCCUUCGGGUUGUAAAGCCCUUUUGUUGGGAAAGAAAAGCAGCAGGUUAAUACCCCGCUGUUCUGACGGUACCCAAAGAAUAAGCACCGGCUAACUUCGUG